UUUUGGUGUAUUAUCUUUAGGUUCCUGUGUUGCCUACCUUUGAAAAAGAAAUUUAAUUGGCUUGGAAUAUUUGUUCCAUCCACAUUUCUUUAUGGGAUGAUGGUGGAUUUUAAUGCAACGCUUGUGUUCCACAUUAAUUUUUCACUAUGAAGCUUUUGUGGUCUGCAUGUGGCUGUUGUUCUUUUGGAUGCAGUGCAUGCAAUGAUCGUGGGUUUAAUUGUCCCGUUUGAUUUCUAAAUUUCUGGUUGCCUUAGAAUGACAUUUGUCUUGGUGCUUGUGAUGUUUUCCUUUUAGGGGGACAACACUUGCACCCUGAGCAUGUCCAUUAAUGGGUGUUACCU
This 341-nucleotide unclassified non-coding RNA is filed under the name Macropsychanthus erectus. RNAcentral's name for it is "Dioclea erecta partial external transcribed spacer". Lineage: Eukaryota; Viridiplantae; Streptophyta; Magnoliopsida; Fabales; Fabaceae. The record is from RNAcentral.